UACGGGGGGGGUAAGCGUUGUUCGGAAUUACUGGGCGUAAAGCGCACGUAGGCGGCUUUGUAAGUUAGAGGUGAAAGCCCGGGGCUCAACUCCGGAAUUGCCUUUAAGACUGCAUCGCUAGAAUUGUGGAGAGGUAAGUGGAAUUCCGAGUGUAGAGGUGAAAUUCGUAGAUAUUCGGAAGAACACCAGUGGCGAAGGCGACUUACUGGACACAUAUUGACGCUGAGGUGCGAAAGCGUGGGGAGCAAACAGG
RNAcentral lists this ribosomal RNA (253 nucleotides) under uncultured bacterium. RNAcentral's name for it is "partial 16S ribosomal RNA". It matches the Rfam family "Bacterial small subunit ribosomal RNA", at positions 524 to 776 of the family's 1533-position model. The record is from RNAcentral.